This is a long non-coding RNA of Oreochromis niloticus (Nile tilapia), 1785 nucleotides long. RefSeq lists it as uncharacterized. The transcript is spliced from 2 exons. Lineage: Eukaryota; Metazoa; Chordata; Actinopteri; Cichliformes; Cichlidae. The record is from RefSeq and is a predicted model, not a curated record.
UAGACAUCUAAGCACAGGGGGUACACAAACACUGGUUUCUCAAGUCUUUCAUUGGCAGGUUCCUUCUCUCUAGAAAGGAGUACCUACAAAACUUGGUGAUAGUGUAAGAUGACACUGUAAUAUCAUAUAACAUUUAAAGAAUGGAUUUGAAGUUAAGUAACUGUUGAGCUAAAUGUUGUGUUAGCUUGUUGACAAAAAGAUGUGGACUUUAGAUGUUUAAAAAAAUCUUGACUUUCUUCAUAUCAACUACAAUGACCUGCUCUAUUAAGGUGGUUAAUGAGUCUUCAUCUCUGGCAAUGUGCCAUGUAUGAAGAGAUGGAAAAACAAUCCCACACCCUGCCUCUCCAGUACAUUCCAUUUCAUAUGACUUUUAGUUUCCUUUGGGACUCUUCACCAUAUUCCAGAGAGAAUUUUCUUUAUUGUUUAGACAGUUUAAAACCUUCUCAGCAACAACAGUGAUGUGAUUACUUGAAUGGACACAACACUGGUCACUAACUGGUCCAGCUGGAAACUGCCAAGGCUCCAUAGACCCUUGAUCUGCUGUUUUCAAGGAUUUCCUCUUUCAGCAAACCAAGGUUCUGCAUGUUCUCUGGAGGGAUGCCCUUUGGCUCACCAACCUUCACUGCAAACAUGUGAAGGCAGAGCACCGUACCUUUGGAAAUGGCCACCUUAGCUAUCACUGACUUGCCCAGCUGUGCAGAAAACAAAGAAUAUAGAAAUCACAGGUAGAUUCAUAACAUGUAAAUAAUAAACAUUUGUCAUUCACAACUUGAUCCAUCUCACAAAUAAGGUAUUGCCAUGUUGCUAAAUCCUAUCUAUGGAAACGUUUAGUUUUUGCUUUUGUUUUUUUUGACAAAAUAAAAUUUAUAUACCAUACGUAUAUAAAUGGCACUGAAAGGGUUAGCACUAUUAUAGUAUGAAGAUAUUUGGUCUGAACAUCACUGUGUCCUUUUUCUGUGUUUGCAAGUUCCUGCAGUGAGUUUUCUUCCAAAGUGCAACAACAUACUUUAAUUAUUGAUUUUGAAUGACUGCGGAUGUUACGGUGCGUUGUUGUCUGUCUUUAUGUCUGUUAAUUGUGACGCACUGGGAACAUUUCCAGGCUGUAACCUGCCUCUUGCCCUGUGAUGGCUGGAAGAGACACAAGAACAUUGUGACAGAAAAUUCAAAAGGUACUUUAAAAAUUGAUGGAUGGACCCAACUUUAUAAUAAGUCUAAUUUCUGGCACAUAUACACUUAAAGGAAAAAGAUAAAUACAUUUGCAGCAUAACAGAAAAACAAAGAAAUGACUUGAAAAAAAAAUGAACUCAAAGAAUUUGUAUUAAGAGAAGUUCAUUAAGUUAAAAAGAAAAUGUGGUUGCAUAAAAGGGACCUGUAAUUUUCAAGUACACUUUAAUAAAGGCAGCAGACCAUCAAAGAUGAUGAAACCCUGACUUCCAGUCUCACUCUUCUUCCAAAAAUACUGGGCAAUACAUUCUAUGUGAGGAAUAUCAUUUAUGUCUUGCCUCUGUAUUUCAAAUUCAAUGCCACCAGUUUCUUAUCAGAGUUUUCAUGAAAAAAAAAAAUGCUAUAGCUGCCUCAUACUAUAAAAAGCUGAUUCCAAUGCUACAUGGGAAAAAAAAGUUUGUGUAACUAUGAUUCUUGUAAAAAAAAAAAAAUCUAUCACUAUCAAUCUAUCCUGAAUGACCAUUGUAUGACUGUAACGGUCAUACAAUACAGUGGUCACACAUAAUCACACAAUUUAACAUCUAAACAUAAACUCUGAGUGUAGUUACUCCUCAACAAAAA